This 468-nucleotide ribosomal RNA is filed under the name uncultured bacterium. RNAcentral's name for it is "partial 16S ribosomal RNA". It matches the Rfam family "Bacterial small subunit ribosomal RNA", at positions 28 to 507 of the family's 1533-position model. The record is from RNAcentral.
GACGAACGCUGGCGGCGUGCUUAACACAUGCAAGUCGAACGGAAAGGCCCUGCUUUUGUGGGGUGCUCGAGUGGCGAACGGGUGAGUAACACGUGAGUAACCUGCCCAUGACUUUGGGAUAACUUCAGGAAAAUGGGGCUAAUACCGGAUAGGAGCUCCUGCUGCAUGGUGGGGGUUGGAAAGUUUCGGCGGUUGGGGAUGGACUCGCGGCUUAUCAGCUUGUUGGUGGGGUAGUGGCUUACCAAGGCUUUGACGGGUAGCCGGCCUGAGAGGGUGACCGGCCACAUUGGGACUGAGAUACGGCCCAGACUCCUACGGGACGCAGCAGUGGGGAGUAUUGCACAAUGGGCGGAAGCCUGAUGCAGCAACGCCGCGUGCGGGAUGACGGCCUUCGGGUUGUAAACCGCUUUCGCCUGUGACGAAGCGUGAGUGACGGUAAUGGGUAAAGAAGCACCGGCUAACUACGUG